This 244-nucleotide ribosomal RNA is filed under the name uncultured bacterium. RNAcentral describes it as "partial 16S ribosomal RNA". It matches the Rfam family "Bacterial small subunit ribosomal RNA", at positions 57 to 305 of the family's 1533-position model. The record is from RNAcentral.
GCAAGUCGAGCGGAAGAGGUAUCUUGCUACUGAUCUUAGCGGCGGACGGGUGAGUAAUACUUAGGAAUCUGGCUAUUAGUGGGGGACAACAUUUCGAAAGGGAUGCUAAUACCGCAUACGUCCUACGGGAGAAAGCAGGGGAUCUUCGGACCUUGCGCUAUAGAUAUGCCUAAGUCGGAUUAGCUAGUUGGUGAGGUAAAGGCCUACCAAGGCGACGAUCUGUAGCGGGUCUGAGAGGAUGAUC